AACGAACGCUGGCGGCAUGCCUAACACAUGCAAGUCGAACGGGAUCCAGGCUUCGGCCUGGUGAGAGUGGCGGACGGGUGAGUAACACGUGGGAACCUGCCUUUUGGUUCGGGAUAACCGCGGGAAACUGCGGCUAAUACCGGAUGCUCCCGAGAGGGGAAAGAUUUAUCGCCAGAAGAGGGGCCCGCGUCCAAUUAGGUAGUUGGUGAGGUAAUGGCUCACCAAGCCUACGAUCGGUAGCUGGUCUGAGAGGAUGAUCAGCCACACUGGGACUGAGAUACGGCCCAGACUCCUACGGGAGGCAGCAGUGGGGAAUAUUGGACAAUGGGGGCAACCCUGAUCCAGCAAUACCGCGUGUGUGAAGAAGGCC
This 370-nucleotide ribosomal RNA is filed under the name uncultured bacterium. Its description in RNAcentral is "bacterial SSU rRNA". It matches the Rfam family "Bacterial small subunit ribosomal RNA", at positions 29 to 416 of the family's 1533-position model. The record is from RNAcentral.